Molecule: ribosomal RNA, 327 nt
Filed under: uncultured eukaryote
Lineage: Eukaryota
Description: partial 18S ribosomal RNA
Rfam family: Eukaryotic small subunit ribosomal RNA
Source: RNAcentral
CCCUUAGAUGUUCUGGGCCGCACACGCGCUACACUGAAGGAGGCAGCGUGUACUCCUGGAUCGAAAGAUUUGGGUAACCCGCGAAUCUCCUUCGUGCUAGGGAUUGAGGUUUGCAAUUAUCCUUCAUGAACGAGGAAUUCCCAGUAAGUGCAAGUCAUAAGCUUGCGCUGACUACGUCCCUGCCCUUUGUACACACCGCCCGUCGCUACUACCGAUUGAAUGAUUUAGUGAGGACUUCGGACUGGGACCGAUGCGGCUUUCGGGCUGCGUCGGUAUUCUGGAAAGAUGUCCAAACUGUAUCAUUUAGAGGAAGUAAAGNUCGUAACA